This 371-nucleotide ribosomal RNA is filed under the name uncultured bacterium. Its description in RNAcentral is "bacterial SSU rRNA". It matches the Rfam family "Bacterial small subunit ribosomal RNA", at positions 28 to 402 of the family's 1533-position model. The record is from RNAcentral.
GACGAACGCUGGCGGCGUGCUUAACACAUGCAAGUCGAGCGGUAAGGCCCUUUUGGGGGCACACGAGCGGCGAACGGGUGAGUAACACGUGGGUGACCUGCCCUCAGCUCUGGGAUAAGCCUGGGAAACUGGGUCUAAUACUGGAUAUGACCUUUCCUCGCAUGGGGUUGGGUGGAAAGUUUUUCGGCUGGGGAUGGGCCCGCGGCCUAUCAGCUUGUUGGUGGGGUGAUGGCCUACCAAGGCGACGACGGGUAGCCGGCCUGAGAGGGCGACCGGCCACACUGGGACUGAGACACGGCCCAGACUCCUACGGGAGGCAGCAGUGGGGAAUAUUGCGCAAUGGGCGGAAGCCUGACGCAGCGACGCCGCGU